RNAcentral lists this ribosomal RNA (856 nucleotides) under Sarcocystis sp. 4D-Mh51. Its description in RNAcentral is "SSU rRNA". It matches the Rfam family "Eukaryotic small subunit ribosomal RNA", at positions 245 to 1099 of the family's 1831-position model. The record is from RNAcentral. Lineage: Eukaryota; Apicomplexa; Conoidasida; Eucoccidiorida; Sarcocystidae.
GGUGAUUCAUAGUAACCGAACGGAUCGCAUUAUGACCUUCGGGUCGGCGAUGGAUCAUUCAAGUUUCUGACCUAUCAGCUUUCGACGGUACUGUAUUGGACUACCGUGGCAGUGACGGGUAACGGGGAAUUAGGGUUCGAUUCCGGAGAGGGAGCCUGAGAAACGGCUACCACAUCUAAGGAAGGCAGCAGGCGCGCAAAUUACCCAAUCCUGACUCAGGGAGGUAGUGACAAGAAAUAACAACACUGGAAAUUCUUUUUCUAGUGAUUGGAAUGAUGGGAAUCCAAACCCCUUUCAGAGUAACAAUUGGAGGGCAAGUCUGGUGCCAGCAGCCGCGGUAAUUCCAGCUCCAAUAGCGUAUAUUAAAGUUGUUGCAGUUAAAAAGCUCGUAGUUGGAUAUCUGCUGGAAGCAGCCAGUCCGCCCUUUGUGGGUGUGCACUUGGUGAAUUCUGGCAUCCUCCUGAUUGGUGUCAUCAUCACUUCAUUGUGUUGGUGGCAGCUGUCAGGACCGUUACUUUGAGAAAAUUAGAGUGUUUCAAGCAGGCUUGUUGCCUUGAAUACUGCAGCAUGGAAUAACAAGACAGGAUUUCGGUUCUAUUUUGUUGGUUUCUAGGACUGAAGUAAUGAUUAAUAGGGACAGUUGGGGGCAUUCGUAUUUAACUGUCAGAGGUGAAAUUCUUAGAUUUGUUAAAGACGAACUACUGCGAAAGCAUUUGCCAAAGAUGUUUUCAUUAAUCAAGAACGAAAGUUAGGGGCUCGAAGACGAUCAGAUACCGUCGUAGUCUUAACCAUAAGCUAUGCCGACUAGAGAUAGGAAAAAGUCAUCCUUGACUUCUCCUGCACCUUAUGAGAAAUC